AGCCAGCGCGGGGCACCCAGAAGGGAAGCACAAGGGCAAUGCAUCUGCACACUGGGGCCAAAAUAGAGCCCUGCUUCUACCAGAGUGGAGGGAGGGCUGGGUACCAGCUGGGAGCAGAGCCUAUGCAAGGGCUUUAUCAUUUUCAGCUUGUCCUAAUUGAAAGCACGUACAGGGAUUAUCUCUGAUUUUCACCUGGGCCUUCCGGGAUCUAAUUUCUACCAGGAAUAGUAGCUCUGGGCAGGCUAUACAUGCUGAUUUCUUACAGCUUUCUUUUCAUUUUCUGUUUGUUUGUUUGUAUCUUUGGUGGAGGUGUGCAGGAAUCUCCCUCUGACACUUGUCUUUUCAGGUCGAAAGCCCUCAGGAUUUGCAAAGUGACAGGGUAGGUGAAUGCCAGCAUGUUGCUGCCAGCAGACUUGAGGUGGAGGAGGAUCGCACAGGACUGAUAAAUCUCACCUGCUGCUUAAGCCAAAGGUUCCCUUUCAUUGGCCUCCAACAAAGACAGAGGCAGUUAUGGCUCCUAUUGCUCUCCUGCUGUAUUAGAGGCAGAAGUGUCGGUAUUGCAGCUGGGUAAGAGAGACCUGAAGUUCCUUUCCCAAGGGUUCCCCUGCUCUGCAUCUACUCAAAGACUCUGAUGGCCACUGUGCAGUGAGGAUAAGAGUGGAUCUCAUGGAACUGUGUUCCCAAGCAUUGUAUACUUGGUACUUGAGCAAAAUAGUGAUCUUCUGGAUGUGUGACCACUAAGGGCAGGACAAGUAACUUCUGCUUAUAGCUUGGUGUGUCCAGUCUACUUUGAUGUGAUUUCUGCACACCUAGAGGGACAGAAAUGCAAGGAAAAAUAACGUUGCUCUGGGACCACAGAGGAGGAAACACAGCCCUCACAGUGUUUGCUGCAGAGCUCUCUCUGAAAUAAAGGUGCUUUUGACACAAGUGGGUUGGGAUUCAGAUCUUCCAGCCUCUUCCAUUCCCUAAUUCACAUUCAAGCAAAUGCUUUGUUGUUUAGUAAAGUAAAGGUCACAACGUAAUCACCUUCUGUUAACACUGUUGGUUUAUGAGAUAACGAGAGCUUGAUGUCCACGCUCAGUUGAUCACUGAAAACGUUCCUAGAAUGUGUAUUCUACUUCAUUGUUAUCAUUAGCAUCAGGAGCAUGUUACUUGGUGACUCCAGAUUCAGCUGCCUCCACAGCUUACAACUCAGGCUUUACCAUUGGGACAGAAGGGACUGCAGCUACACCUGCUAAUCCUAUUUUAUUUGCUUGUAAACACCUGUGUUUGUUUCUUACCCACAUGAGAGGUAGGUAAGAGAGACCACCCAAGCCCUUGCAUUGGAUGAAGUGCAGCUGGAAUUAAUUGCAUAUGCUGUAGAACGGACAGUGAAUGGCAAACCAACAAAGUCUAUAGAGGGCCUUUUUGUCUCAGUGACAUUUGACUGAAUAAAGCCAUCCUGGAAUGUGACAAAGGCAUUGAUGGGAUGUGUUUUAUUCACCCUUCUAAUCCGAAUGAGUUACUGGGUGGUGUGUGACCAGCAAGUCUCACUGAUCAUUUCUGAGGCCAGUGCCAGUCCAUAGGAGUAAAAGGUACAGGUGGUUCUACUCACCAGACAGGGAGAAAUACAUUUUCCUUCAUAUUACAAACACUCUCUAAAUUCAACUCCUGGAAGAAAUUUAUGGAUUAGCUAUAGGAACUGAUCUGUAUAUAUCAGGUUUUCUUCUCUAGGCCAGAGCAAUGGAAAUGGCCUCAGACACCUUCCCCCUUCCUGUGGUACACAUACUAGGGCAUGCAUAUAAGCUGGGGAUAGUGGAAAGCCAACACCCUUAUCUCCAACACUCUCGCUAAGAACUAACAUACAGUGAGCUCACUUUUAUUUAUUAAUUUUUACUUUAGAGUUAUUGUGGUUGCAACAAUGCAAAUAUUAGCUUCCUCACAGCAGCAGCAGUGCAAGGAUUUCACUGCCCAGAGGAGAAAAAAUAAAACAACAAACAAAUUUUUUAAAAAAACAUUCUGCUUAACUAGCUAGAAAAGCUGAAGAGAUGCUUUCCACCUCUCUUGUUUAAGGAUUGAUAAAAGUGAUUCUCAAAGGGAGCUGUAAGGGAACUGUUAUGUCACGGCCUGAACUGAUGAUUGAGCACCGGGUGAAGGACGUGGCUGGCCUCGGAAGCACAGGUGCAAGCAAGUCACCUGUGCUUCCCCCGUGAGGAGAGGAGGUGGAACCUGGGUCCAUCCCUCUCUGGGCUCAUUUAAGGGCUAGCCUCCAAAAGGAGAUCCUUUUCUGUAUGAGGGCUGCUUCCUAAGGAAUGUUUUUGUGUCCAGGGAUCCUAACAGCAGGUUAGAAGUAUCAGAAGGUGAAGCUUCACAUGACUGAGAGUUAUAUGAUUGCUAACGCCAGUUCUCCUGACCAGGAUCAUUUAGUUCUUGCUUGGAUUCAUCAAGAACAGCUCAUCUUUUAAGAGCUAUUAUUUUUGUCAUCUGACCUAGAAGAAUCACAAGAGACCAAGGUCUUUGUUUAAGAACUGCCUGCAUGCAAGUUAACUACGAAUGCCUCAGGGAGUAUAAGCCGCUGCCAGCAUGGAAAUUUAUAGGAUUGACAUGGUUUUCUAAUUUGAUUGCUCUACUCAUUGUUGCAAACUUCCUGCACAGGUAUCAAUUUUAACAUCACGCAAACAUAUUACAUUUAUACAUACCAAUAAUACCAGCUUUAAAUUAGGAAACACUUCCUAAUGGCGUGCAUAAUUAAAUGUUAGGAUAGGAUGUCUAGGGAGGUCGUAGGAUUGCCAUCGUGAAUGGAUCCUUACAGUACACUGUAAAGAAUACACUUGGAAUUAGGUGAGUAUAGUGGCCUGUGCUUAGAGACUAGGAGAUGGAUUAGAAGGUCUUUUGAGUCCUCCUGGGGGCUGUAGUCUAAAGACUUUCUGCUCACGUUAGACCUUAAAUCAUGAAGUUCUAUGAACCAUGAGGAGUGUGUAUUAAUAAGUGAUUCACACAAGUGAUUUUCUAAAUAGAGAUGCUUUUCUUAAAAACAAAAGCCUUAAACUGGGAAAAGCUCAGGAUCAUGCUGAUGUACGACAUUUUAGAGACAUUGUAAUUGCUCUGCUUGGGAAAUUUACUGAGCAUGUCAAUAAAUUAAAAAUUGUACAGGACAAAGGGUAUCUGAAAGCACCACCUCUUCCCAGGGAGGUCUAUUGCAAGGUUGCUGCCCAACAUCAACUGCUGCUUAAAAAGCUAAUUCCUGGGGAUGUCACAUCUUCAGCACUUCUCCUGAGGACAGAUCAGUCUGAAAAGAUUGUGUUUCUGAGAGCUGACUGGAGUCAGAACUCCACCAUGGCAGAAGACAGAAUCUGUUGGGUUUUUUCCUACCCUAUGUGCAGAAAAAAGAUCUUAUUCUAAAAAGUUCAAGGUCUUGUUCUGCAUGACUGGAAAAUACAUCUCUGUGCAUCACUUUCUUUCGGUUGUUUUUCCUUGAAGAGAAGGAGCACAAUAUGUAAAAUAUCAGUAAGCCCAAAAAAAAAAAAAAAAAAAAAAGACCAAACAAGACUCCAGCAAUGGCCAUGAUCUCUGACUCAUCCUUUCCCAAUAGAUACAGGUUCAGGGGAGAAACUCAGCUGGAACUUGCUCUUGGUAAAGAUUUUGUGCACAGUGCAACACCAGCGUGCAUUCUAGGAUGAAAUUAAUACAGAACAAGCCAAAUUCUUUAGGAAUAAUGCCUCCACACUGAUGUACAAGUGUGUUUCUUGAAAUAACAGUGCCAUCCUGAAAGGCAAAAUUAUACACCAGUGUGCCAGUUCUCUUGUUUGUCAGGCAGGCCGGAAUAACCUUGGAGUGGAAAGCUGAAGGAAGAAGCUUUUCUGUGGAAAUGAGGAGCUCCUUCAAGAUGCCAGGCUACCACAGGGCUGUGCUGAGAGAUGCCGUGCUGGCAAAGCCUUGCUCCUAUGGGAUGGCAAAACAAGAAUUCAAGCAUGAGAACAUCACUAAAGAGAAGCAAUCCUCAGCUGAUCCCCAGGGUGCCCUGUCUGUCCAUGUGGGCCAAGAUACAGGCUCUGCUGAUCCAAAGGACUACUAUUAUCUUUAGCUGCAUCUUUACCUAGAGCUGAGCUGCCAUGUCUGGCAGAGGUUGAUGCUGGCCUGAGGGACUUCAUGUUUCUUGGUGCUGCUUGAUUAGAGCUCAGACAUGCAUCACAUAGCAUCUCAGCCCCUCAUGAGAGGCCAUGCAACUGUGCACAGUGAGGCUUGGGUCCCCUCCUUGCUGCCACCCUGAUGGGAUAAGGGUCUGAAGUGCUAUCUGAUGCCUUUCUGAAUCAUGCUCUUCCCAGGGCUCCUCCAGAACCCAGGCAAUGAGCUAUGGGUGAGCCAUGUGCUUCAUAGAUGAAACAUCAGGCUAGAGAGAGAAGCUAUUUGUUGUUUUCCCUUCCUAGAGAUAUUGUUUACAGCAUAUUUUCUUCUGAGCAUUUCUUUCGCUCUGAAUUCUCAAAGUCAUGUAGAAGCAACUGCUGGUGCAAACCGCUGUGGCUGUAGCAAUGUGGAUGGUGUGAUGCUAUGCUACAUUGGAAUGAGACCUGGCCCUUAGUUUUAGUCAUCGUGACGUUAGCACGUUUUUUUGCUUGCCUUGCUGAACAAGCAUGUAGACAAAGCACUUUCCUCUCUACUCAAGAGCUAGAGAAGAGCACAGAUGUCCCAUUUGUGUCACAACUAUAUGAAUUCACACUAUCUGAAUUUUCUCAACUGUGUACUACUGUCCAGUGUCAUUUCCCUGACCUCCGUGAAGUUCUCCCCCUUUACGCUCCCCCACUUGACAGCUCUCAGAGAUAGAAGAGUCAGCAGCAUUUUGUAGGAGAAAGAGUCAAAGCAGGGAAUUAAGACACCGCCUCAUGCAGAGGCAUUAGCGCCUGAGUCACUGGGAUGUCAUUCAGGCACUAGGACAGCCUGUGAAGCCUUUCAGAUCACAUGCGUGCAUGACAUUUAGAAGAGGUGGGUGACCUCACGGGAGAUUAUCUAAGAGAUCUAAACUGACCAUAGAAGGCAGCAUUGGAAGCUUUCAUUUAUCCUCGCUAACCUUCAGCAAUAAAAAAGGAGGAUGAGUGCACGGAUGUGCAUGCAGGAAGUAUGCAAGAAGCGCUGAGAACAUUGUGAAAGCCAGAAGGCUGGUAAACCAUACCCCAGCUCCAGUGACACACGGCUGUCAUGGAAAGAGAGAGGAGGAGGACACGAUUUGUUUCCCAAGGGACAGUGUUUUGUUUCAAACCUUUUCAAACCUCAUUUGCUACUUGACUGUGCAGUAGAAGUUUAAAAAAAAAUGGUGCUCUUUCCUGAUUUUUGUAGAAAACCAUGAAUUUGGAUGUCCUUCUGACCUUCUUAAUUCUAAAUAUGGCCACUAGUCCAAGAUCAACCUUGGGAACAACUGUGAGGCCAACUGGAAAAACUGAAUUAUUCAGUCCCCUCAAUUCCUUCUAUUGCUCACCCUGCAUGUCUAAAUCAGCAUCCCAUCAGACCACAUGCUUGGUGGGGGGCAAGGAGCAAGGCAGUUUUCCUGAGUUCAGUAUUAAUAAGGAUCCAAAGGGUCGUGAGAUGUCUUCUUAAAUCUGUGGCCUUCCUUUAAUUAUGUAUGUCAUGUGUCAGCCCAGAGCAUACCUUUCUUCAGACUAGCGUUCCUGCUGAGCUUCCAGUUAGAAAAUUGGAACAGCAGCAAAUAAGUGGUAUGGCCACAGAGAUCUUGGUAGCUCUGAAAUUGCUCUUGCUCCUUGCCCUGCUUCUCAAAGUAGAAACCCACACUUAUGUCCUCUUCUGCCUCUCGUCCUCUGCCUUUUCCAUCUCAAUCUCUUGGAGCCCAUCCUUCUGUGAGUUAUCCCUCUGUACCUGUUGAGUCCAUCUGUUCGUGUGGUGGGUCCUCAUGUGCAACAAGCAUGUGAAUCCUGCCCCUUGUGUCCAAAUUCACCCCAUAUGGUCAAAAGCUAUGUGCUCAAGACAGAAAAUGCUGUGUUCUGCAUUGUUAUAAUGCCCAGUUUAGCUGCAUGUUGAGUUAUGCAUUUCUGCUAAGAUCAGGUCUUGUAGGCUCCAGAUACGUGUGAGGUCCAUCACUCAUAGCAGCAGCAGAAUAUAGCUGCUUUGUUAUUAUCUUUCCAGGUGUAACACAAGUCUUCUGUAGAGUAUCACUGAAAGCAUUUCAGAGUAGCCUAGCGAGAAGUGAACGUGACAACUGAAUAGGUCUGUUUAUUUUACAAAUUAUUUUAGUCUGUUUCCAAGAACUCAGAAAAAGAUAUGAAUUUUACCAGAUUUGAUUUAUCUUACAACCAACCAUUACUUUUUUUUUUUUUUGCCCCUAGAAAAAAUGGGGCAUGAAGUAAGGAGUACUUUUUGAGGGCUGAAAAAGUGACAUUAGAGGGAAUGUUCGUCAUAGUUAUUCAUGAACCAGUAGUACUAGCCAGCUCAUAUACUGAAAUACAUUUUUGGCCCCCCAAAAUCCCUACCUUAAUCUGCUUCACUUAAAAAAAACAAUAUGAAUUCAAAUUACAUGUGCACACAUUAGGGAAACCAGGAUUUAGUCAAAUGGGCAAAAGGAAUUUGUUUCAAUGUUUUGGCCCUAGAGCUAUUAUCAAGAAAUAUACAACUACUUUCCUCAGACAGCCAUCUCUGGUUCUCUUCUCUCAACACCAUCAAUUUUUUUAUAAUACAAAAUGACCGAAGUGCAGGAUUUUUAUUACAUAUUCCCAUAAAUAAUUUACUGAUAACAUGGAACGAGAGAAAUGAAAGAGCCAUCUCUAUUGCUGAUGUGAUCACACUGAACACAGUCCUGGUAAGAUGCCACUGAACUCAGCGAACUGUGCCUCAAGGCUUUGAUUCUGGGAAUUCACUUCCAUAAACACAAUUGCCUGCAACUACAGAUGUUUUACUGGAAGGUCACCUUGUGAGAAUAUCCUCUCAGCAUUUAGAUGGGCCUCUCCAACACUGCAUUUUGCCCAGGUGUGGCCUUUUAUCCUUCAUCAGUUGGUGCUUCUGCCUGAGAGUCAGCUCCCCGUCAUGUGCUUACAAGUGGAUUAGUGCAGUGGGGCCUUCCUUUUGCUACUAAAUAUAAUAGCUUAUGCCACCAGAGAAAUAAAAAAACAUUCUAUAAUUCAGGAAUGCAUAAAGCAGAGCCUCCUGAGUGUUAAAGCAAGCAGCACUGAUUGUGUUAGAAAUUCAGAAGCGUUAUAAACUUCUAAUUGGAAAUCAUUAAACCAGAGUCGUCACUUGAAUUAUAUUCAAAUAUAUCAAAUUUUUCAAGUAACAGUAUUUAUUACUUUUUCUCUGCCUCUAUGUUAAAUGUUUGGGUUUGUUGUUUUUUCCGUGCAGAUGAUCAGAGAGAUCAUUAAAUCAAGUUUUUGCCCAGUGGACCACAAUUUAAACUCUGCCACACAAUAUGCUGAGGUAGUGGUGUCUUGUAAGACUAACUCCUUUGCUGGAAGGGGAGACACAGCAAUAAGUACUUCUGUUUUUCUAACAGAACAUAUCUCUACCAUGCUGUUGAAUAGUAUUUCAGAAAAAAAUACAUUUGGUCUUUUUCAAAAUUGGCUAAUAAAUAAAGAGAUAAAAUAAAAGUGCAGAGAAGGAGGCAGAAGGAUAGAAAAGCAAGCUCUUCCUUCACUGUGCAUGCUCUGAGCUUAGUGACACUACAGCAGUACAGUCCCUUUGAUGUACUGUCACGCCAGUGCUAUGCAGAGAACAGUGCAGAGAAAUGGUAUUGAAAUCCAGUUAUUUUGCUGUAUUUCAUAGGUCCCUCAUUAAGCAGGUUAGGGAUAUGGGGUUGAAGGGGAGUUUAUGUCUCUGUGGCUUGUUUAUGAUAAACAUCUAUUUUUGUGGAACCAUUCCUUUAGCUUCACUGCCUAGAGACAGUCAUUUAUCAUCAGUGAGAUGUCAGUAGAUAGCUGUUAAUGAGCUUGGUUCAUACCCAUAAAGGCUGACAAGUAACUAGGUGAAAUAGGUAUAAUUUUAGCAUGAUAUGUUGUCAUGUAUUUCAUUGUAAUAACUCAAUAUUUUCUUUAAUCUGUUCGAAAAUGUAAUAUUUGGGGUGUGAAAUUUUACAUGCCAGUAGUAGACUACAAAGUUAAUGGGACAUCUUUCACUGGUCCGUCCAUGCCCUAGUCAGACCCUUACAUAAUAUUUAGAUGAAAAGUAAUAGGACUAAGACAUGCCAGUUCAGACCAGUUAUUAUCAGUUUGGUAGCUGAAACAGAGAGAUCCUUCACAACCUCUUUUUUUUUAUUAUUAUUAUUUUCUUUCCUGGCACUAAGUUGCUGAGCCUACGCUUUUAUAGAGAUUCAUUGUACUGCUAAGACAUGAAGGGUCUUAGUGUGGGCAACUUGUUGAUCCUCUCUGUCAACCUCAAGACAGUGUAAAAUUUUUUAUAUAUAUAUAUAUAUAUAAAAUGAAAUUUCAUUGAAAAAAAAAUAAAGCUAAAUAAAAAUUGUCUUUGCCUCUGCCUUCCCUUUCCCUGCUAUUAUGUUUCAGUGGUCCGUGGUGGUACCUGUUCAUUUUGGAGGAAGGUAUCAAAAUAUGAUGAAAAAAACACACUUCUGUAUCAAAGAUGUGUGGGUUUUUUUUCUUUCUUUUGCUUACUCAUUCAGAUGUGAUGACUGUUACACAGAAUUCUCUGAAUCUUAAGAACUCUGUAGGUUUUAUGGGUUGAAAGACCAUCCUCUACCAAAGUAACCGUGAAACAGGCUUGGUCCACUCCUGAGUGGAAUGAGAUUUCCCUUUCUGUGGUCUCCAACCAUGUGUGAUGUGCACUCAGCCUUCAAACCGUGGAGGAUGCCAAGAUAAUGGGGCAUCUUUCUCACAUGCUUGUGUACCGCAUUGCUGACAGAUAAAAGGAAGUAAUAGGUAUCUGCCAACUAAACGACAGCUCUAGGAAAGUUAUACAUAAGACCUUUUGCAUGGGAAAGAAAAUUCAGAGCAGCAUGAGUCAGUAGGACUAAACAGUUCCUCAGGUUUCCAUUGGAUGAGGCUUUCCUGCUGCUCCCAACUCUCCCCAUCUCCUGCAGUUUCAGCUAGGAAUGUUCUUAGCUCUGAAAUGAGGGGGAAAAAAUGUGGCCUUAGUUUUCUGCAAUUCUUUGAAGUAUUUUUAAAGUGAGUAAGGAAUAAUAAAAGUUGAGUCCCUGACUCACCUUGCUUUUAACAUACUUUUGGUUCAAAGGAUUGUGUUUUCUCCUCUUUUAAUCAUUUGUAUAUUGGCAGAAAUAAUGCACUGCAAUAUCAGUGACUGGUAAUGCAGUGUGUAGGAAAAUUACUCUUUUUUGAUUGAAUAGACAUGUUAAUCUCAUCAGUAUGUAAAUGAAAGGUGCUCCUGAGGCAUUCUGCCUCUUGAGACUUUCAUUUCAGCCUGUCUUUUGGGGAUGCUCACCUCCAAGGAUUGCAUUAAGAGAAAUCAGCUGUAAAGAUGUAAGUAGGGAACAGGAUACUAAAC
This is a long non-coding RNA of Gallus gallus (chicken), 9426 nucleotides long. RefSeq lists it as uncharacterized. NCBI's taxonomy places the organism in Eukaryota, Metazoa, Chordata, Aves, Galliformes, Phasianidae. The record is from RefSeq and is a predicted model, not a curated record. The transcript is spliced from 5 exons.